UACAGAGGUCUCAAGCGUUGUUCGGAUUCAUUGGGCGUAAAGGGUGCGUAGGCGGCGCGGUAAGUCGGAUGUGAAAUCUCGGAGCUUAACUCCGAAACUGCAUUCGAUACUGCCGUGCUUGAGGACUGGAGAGGAGACUGGAAUUUACGGUGUAGCGGUGAAAUGCGUAGAUAUCGUAAGGAAGACCAGUGGCGAAGGCGGGUCUCUGGACAGUUCCUGACGCUGAGGCGCGAAAGCCAGGGGAGCAAACGGG
This 253-nucleotide ribosomal RNA is filed under the name uncultured bacterium. RNAcentral describes it as "partial 16S ribosomal RNA". It matches the Rfam family "Bacterial small subunit ribosomal RNA", at positions 524 to 776 of the family's 1533-position model. The record is from RNAcentral.